GGCUGGCACCUCCCUACACCGAGGCAGCUGGGAGCAGGCCCAAGCUUCGCAGCUCUCUGAGCAGGCCCUGCUUGUCUCUCCACCUGAGGGCCGUGUCCUCUGUGGCAUGGACCGGCAGCAGCAGAGCUCAGGGCAAAGUGGAGGACAGGAUGUAACCAGGAGAGCAAAGCACAAGUCACGCGUUUCCUCAUGCUGGAGACGCAACAUCUUCCUGCCUGAGAAGUGAGGGGACCGUCCAGACCCCUAAGGUCAGAGGAGCCGUCACAGGACCCAAAGGAAAAGGAAUCUCUGUCUCUUGUGUGAUUAUUUCGUGCAGCCCAGUUCCCCUGGAGUGACCCUGGGUGUUAGUCUCGAGGAAUGUGACGGAGGUGACUGUCGGCAGAUGGGGUGUGGCUGGAGGAGUCAAAAACUGAGAUGUGCCCUAGAAGAGGGCGUCUUCCUUGCAGCUCCUUACCUCUCCCCAUCUCUCCUCCUGACCCUGACAGGAGCUGAGCAUCUUUCCUCUGUUGGGCCUUCUCCCAUGGUGUGCGUGGGGCCAGAGCAAUGGAAUCUGCCAUCUAUGAACUGAGACCUCUGAAACUGUUACCCCAAAUAAAC
Molecule: long non-coding RNA, 597 nt
Organism: Marmota monax (woodchuck)
Lineage: Eukaryota; Metazoa; Chordata; Mammalia; Rodentia; Sciuridae
Exons: 3
Source: RefSeq, a predicted model, not a curated record